Molecule: ribosomal RNA, 1306 nt
Filed under: Anabropsis maguanensis
Lineage: Eukaryota; Metazoa; Arthropoda; Insecta; Orthoptera; Anostostomatidae
Description: 16S ribosomal RNA
Rfam family: Bacterial large subunit ribosomal RNA (bases 876-1243)
Source: RNAcentral
UGUUAAGUUAUUUCUUUAAUUUAAAGAAUUUUAUUGUUGUGUUGUUUAAGUAAAAUUUAUAGAAUAAAUUAUGUAAUUUAUAGUUAAUUAGUAUUGUGAAAGAAUAUUGAAAUAUGUUGAAAAUAUUAUUUGUGAAAAGUAGAUUGUGAAUUGUACCUUGUGUAUCAGGGUUAAUUAAUUAAUUAUUAUUUAUUUAAUAAUCCCGAUUUAAAGAGAGUUAAUAUAAUAUUUUAGUUAAUGUUUUAUAAUUAUUAAAAAUGUUGUGUUGGUAAUGAAAUGUUAAUCGGUCUUUAAUAUAUCUGGUUUUCUAAGAAUUGAAUUUAAUUCAGUUAUUAAUUUUUUAAAUUAUUAAUUUAAUUAAUAAUUUAUGUAAUUAAUAGUAGAAGUUUGGGGGAUAAGCUCUAAAUUUUAUUUUAAAAAUAUUUGAUUAUAAGAAAAAAUAAAGUAGGCUUUAAAUUAGCUUUCUUUGGAGUAUGUUAUAAUUCAUUUAUAAAUGUAUAUUAUAGUUAAUGAUUUUAUAAGUAAUUUAAAUAUUGUAUUAGAAUAAUUUUAAUAAUUAUUUAUAAUUUGUAAUAAUGAUUAAAUUAGUAUAAAAAUAAUUGUUUAAUUAAAUUAAUUUUUGGUUAAUUUGUAAUAAGGAAUUAGGCAAAAAUGAUGCUCGCCUGUUUAACAAAAACAUGUCUUUAUGUUUAAUUGAAUUUAUAAAGUCUGGCCUGCCCACUGAUUUAAUUGAAGGGCCGCGGUAUUUUGACCGUGCAAAGGUAGCAUAAUCAUUAGUCUUUUAAUUGGAGGCUGGUAUGAAUGGUUUAACGAGGUAUUAACUGUCUCAUUAUAAAAUUUUGAAUUUAACUUUUUAGUCAAAAGGCUAAAAUGAAAUUAGAGGACGAGAAGACCCUAUAGAGCUUUAUAAUAAAUUUAGAUAAUUAAUUUUAGUAGUUUAAUUUAAUUUUUUAAUAUUAUUAUUUAGUUGGGGUGACUUGAAGAUUAAAUAAACUCUUUAUUUAAUAAACAUUAAUUUAUGGAAAAUUGAUCCAUUAUUAGUGAUUAAAAGAUUAAGUUACCUUAGGGAUAACAGCGUAAUUUUUUUUAAGAGUUCUUAUCAACAAGAAAGAUUGCGACCUCGAUGUUGGACUAAGGAAUAUUAUUGGGUGUAGAAGUUUAAUAAAUGGGUCUGUUCGACCCUUAAAUCCUUACAUGAUCUGAGUUCAGACCGGCGCAAGCCAGGUCGGUUUCUAUCCUUAAUUAAUUAAAAUAUUUUAGUACGAAAGGACCAAAUAUUUAAAAAAUUUUUAAAAAUAUGAUUAUU